RNAcentral lists this ribosomal RNA (774 nucleotides) under uncultured Neocallimastigales. Its description in RNAcentral is "partial large subunit ribosomal RNA". It matches the Rfam family "Eukaryotic large subunit ribosomal RNA", at positions 23 to 627 of the family's 3401-position model. Lineage: Eukaryota; Fungi; Neocallimastigomycota; Neocallimastigomycetes; Neocallimastigales. The record is from RNAcentral.
GAGACUCUGUGCGCGUGCAUAUCAAUAAGCGGAGGAAAAGAAACUAACAAGGAUUCCCUAGUAACGGCGAGUGAAGCGGGAAGAGCUCAAAUUUGAAAUCUUAAAGGUUUUCCCUUGACGAAUUGUAGUUUAAAGAAGUGUUUUCUGUUGGAGUUUCGGUAAAAGUUCUUUGGAAUAGGACAUCAUAGAGGGUGAGAAUCCCGUAUUUGACCAUUACUUUCCAGCUGUGUGAUACACUUUCAAAGAGUCGGAUUGUUUGGGAAUGCAGUCCAAAAUGGGUGGUAAAUUUCAUCUAAAGCUAAAUAUUGGCGAGAGACCGAUAGCGAACAAGUACCGUGAGGGAAAGAUGAAAAGAACUUUGAAAAGAGAGUUAAACAGUACGUGAAAUUGUCAAAAGGGAAGCGUUUGACACCAGUGUUGUUUAGUUGAAAAUCAAUUCAAUAAUUUUUGAUUUUGAGUAGUAUUGACUUCAUCAGCUUGCUGCUUUCUUUUCAGAAAUUAUUGAAUGCACUUUUCAGUUAACAAGUCAACAUCAAUUUCUUUUGUUGUAAAAGGGUAAGAGGAAGGUGGCUUACGCUUCGGCGUAAGUGUUUAUAGCCUUUUACCUCUGCAAUCGGAGAGAUUGAGGACAGCAGCGUAGACUCUUCGGGGUUAGAUACACUUGUGCUAAGCUAUAGCCUUGUAUAGACAACUUGUUGACUAUGCUCAGUCAUGUAGCUUACUCGCUUGUGCUAUUUUACCUACGCUUAGGAUGUUGACGAUCAGCUGAGCGCG